AACUUUGCGCGGAGGCAAUAUCUUAACCGAUGAGGUUAAUCCGAGAUGCGAUUAUUGCUAGUUAAGAACUGAUAAUAAACUGAUUAAUGAUAAAUGAGUAUGACCAGUAUUGUUGAUUACCAAAUGCGAACUGAUUUUUGG
This is a small nuclear RNA of Achroia grisella, 141 nucleotides long. RefSeq annotates it as U4 spliceosomal RNA. NCBI's taxonomy places the organism in Eukaryota, Metazoa, Arthropoda, Insecta, Lepidoptera, Pyralidae. The record is from RefSeq and is a predicted model, not a curated record. The transcript has a single exon.